Molecule: ribosomal RNA, 412 nt
Filed under: Drepanotermes rubriceps
Lineage: Eukaryota; Metazoa; Arthropoda; Insecta; Blattodea; Termitidae
Description: partial 12S ribosomal RNA
Source: RNAcentral
CCCUAUUAUUUUAGAAUGUUAAUUUGUUUUGCCUGAGUAGUAUUAGUUAUGUUCUUGAAACUUAAAGAAUUUGGCGGUAUCUCAUUCCGUCCAGAGGAAUCUGUCUCGUUAUCGAUAGUCCGCGUUGGACCUUACUUGGUUGCUUUGGUUUGUAUACCGCCGUUUAUUUGAUUAUCUUUUUAGGGGUUUAAAUUUUCUAGUUUCCUUAUUUUGGUUUAUUUCAGGUCAAGGUGCAGCUUGUUUCCAAGUGAAUGAUGGAUUACAUUGAUUGAUUUGUUUUUGGAUUGCUUGUUUGAAUUUGGGCAUGAAAUUGGAUUUGGUUGUAAUGGUUUGUAGAUUGUUAUUAUGAUAAUUGGUUCUGGGAUAUGCACACAUCGCCCGUCGCUCUCGUUGCUGUUAAAUGAGAUAAGUC